AGUGAACGCUGGCGGCGUGCUUAACACAUGCAAGUCGAACGAGAACGGAAUAUAGCUUGCUAUAUUUGUCAGCUAAGUGGCGCACGGGUGAGUAAUGUAUAGAUAACCUGCCCUUAAGAAAGGAAUAACAGUUGGAAACGACUGCUAAUGCCCUAUAUGCCUUUAAUACAUAAGUAUGCAAGGGAAACGCUUUAGUGCUUAAGGAUGGGUCUGUAUGGUAUCAGCUUGUUGGUGAGGUAAUGGCUCACCAAGGCUAUGACGCCUAACUGGUUUGAGAGGAUGAUCAGUCACACUGGAACUGAGACACGGUCCAGACACCUACGGGAGGCAGCAGUGGGGAAUAUCGCACAAUGGACGAAAGUCUGAUGCAGCAACGCCGCGUGGAGGAUGACACAUUUCGGUGCGUAAACUCCUUUUAUAUAGGAAGAUAAUGACGGUACUAUAUGAAUAAGCACCGGCUAACUCCGUGCCAGCCGCCGCUGUAA
RNAcentral lists this ribosomal RNA (485 nucleotides) under uncultured bacterium. Its description in RNAcentral is "partial 16S ribosomal RNA". It matches the Rfam family "Bacterial small subunit ribosomal RNA", at positions 29 to 523 of the family's 1533-position model. The record is from RNAcentral.